Molecule: RNase P RNA, 343 nt
Filed under: pig gut metagenome
Description: Bacterial RNase P class A
Rfam family: Bacterial RNase P class A
About the family: Ribonuclease P (RNase P) is a ubiquitous endoribonuclease, found in archaea, bacteria and eukarya as well as chloroplasts and mitochondria.
Source: RNAcentral
GCGGUGCGGUCGCGGGGAUGCGCCGAAAGGUUCUCCCUGAGGAAAGUCCGAGCUCCCAUGGGCAGGAUAACGGAUAACGUCCGCCGGAGGCAACUCCCGGGAAAGUGCAACAGAAAAGAACAUCCGAACAAUCGGUUAAGGUGAAAAGGUGAGGUAAGAGCUCACCGGGACGGCGGUAACGCCGCCCGUCAGUGUAAACCCUAUCCGGAGCAAUACCGCAUAUAAGACAUAUACGCCGCCCAUCGUGUCUUGAAGGUAGCUGGAGGCGCGCGGUAACGCGCGUUCGAGAUAGAUGAUCGCAGCGGAGGAUAAUCUCCGAACAGAACUCGGCUUAUACGCUUGC